Molecule: ribosomal RNA, 253 nt
Filed under: uncultured bacterium
Lineage: Bacteria
Description: partial 16S ribosomal RNA
Rfam family: Bacterial small subunit ribosomal RNA
Source: RNAcentral
UACGGAGGGUGCGAGCGUUAAUCGGAAUUACUGGGCGUAAAGCGCAUGCAGGUGGUUCGUUAAGUCAGAUGUGAAAGCCCGGGGCUCAACCUCGGAAUUGCAUUUGAAACUGGCGGACUAGAGUACUGUAGAGGGGGGUAGAAUUUCAGGUGUAGCGGUGAAAUGCGUAGAGAUCUGAAGGAAUACCGGUGGCGAAGGCGGCCCCCUGGACAGAUACUGACACUCAGAUGCGAAAGCGUGGGGAGCAAACAGG